CAGCCUCUUAAGUGCUAGGAUUACAAAUGUUAGCCUCCACUACUGGUGAGAGAGUCCUCUUUCCUCUUUUAAUCUCUCCCUCUCCUCUCUCUUCCACUAUGCCUUUCUUUCUUCCUUCCUGUCCUGGGAAUUGACCCUUUGGCCCCAUGCACCAGGUAAGUGCUCUACCACUGAGCUACGUUCCCAGCCCUUUCUAUUUUCUUAUUUCAGCACAGAUUCUCGUUGAAUUGCCCAAGCUGGCCUUAAUUUGUGAUCCUCCUGUCUCAGAUUUCUAAGUGGCUAUAAUUACAAGCCUGCACCAUCAGACUCAGUGUUUGAAAUGAAAAUGAUCUUUCCUUCUACCCACUCUUUCUUUCUUUCUCUCUCUCUUUCUUUCUUUCUCUUUCUUUCUUCUUUCCUUCCUUCCCUUCCUCCUUCCUUCCUUCCUUCCUUCCUUCCUUUCUUUCUUUCUCUUUCUUUCUUCUUUCCUUCCUUCCCUUCCUCCUUCCUUCCUUCCUUCCUUCCUUCCUUCCUUUCUUUCUUUCUUUCUUUCUUUCUCUUUCUUCUUUCCUUCCUUCCCUUCCUCCUUCCUUUCUUUCUCUCUCUUCCUUCCUUCCCUCUC
RNAcentral lists this long non-coding RNA (601 nucleotides) under Rattus norvegicus (Norway rat). Its description in RNAcentral is "long non-coding RNA NONRATT021835". The record is from RNAcentral. Lineage: Eukaryota; Metazoa; Chordata; Mammalia; Rodentia; Muridae.